RNAcentral lists this transfer RNA (88 nucleotides) under Bacteroidia bacterium. Its description in RNAcentral is "tRNA-Ser". It matches the Rfam family "tRNA". Rfam says of the family: Transfer RNA (tRNA) molecules are approximately 80 nucleotides in length. Their secondary structure includes four short double-helical elements and three loops (D, anti-codon, and T loops). Further hydrogen bonds mediate the characteristic L-shaped molecular structure. tRNAs have two regions of fundamental functional importance: the anti-codon, which is responsible for specific mRNA codon recognition, and the 3' end, to which the tRNAs corresponding amino acid is attached (by aminoacyl-tRNA synthetases). tRNAs cope with the degeneracy of the genetic code in two manners: having more than one tRNA (with a specific anti-codon) for a particular amino acid; and 'wobble' base-pairing, i.e. permitting non-standard base-pairing at the 3rd anti-codon position. Lineage: Bacteria; Pseudomonadati; Bacteroidota; Bacteroidia. The record is from RNAcentral.
GGAGAGAUGGGCGAGUGGUCUAAACCGGCGGUCUCGAAAACCGUUGAACGAUUCUGUCGUUCCAGGAGUUCGAAUCUCCUUCUCUCCG